Molecule: regulatory RNA element, 46 nt
Organism: Culex pipiens (northern house mosquito)
Lineage: Eukaryota; Metazoa; Arthropoda; Insecta; Diptera; Culicidae
Rfam family: Histone 3' UTR stem-loop
About the family: The mRNAs of metazoan histone genes lack a poly-A tail.
Source: Rfam
CAAACGGCCCUUUUCAGGGCCAACAAAUUCAUAACGAAAGAGUUGU